GGACCGAUCCAGACGGUCGCUCGUACGCAUUCGUGCGUGCGGGAGGAAAGUCCGAGCACAGGCGGAAGCGAUUCCGCAGCAGGGUAGCGGGUAACGCCCGUCCGCAGCGAUGCGCGAGGUGCGAGCAGAGACGCUCAAGCAGAAAUGCGCGAGCAUCUGGCUUCGGUCAGAUGAGUCCGCUAGGCGACUAGCGGGGUGAAACGGCUAAAUCCUUACCUCUGUGCAAGGCCGUGCCGGUACUCCUAGGAGACGCCGGAGCGCCGCUCGAGGCCAUCGGUAACGAUGGUCCCAGAUAGAUGGCCGUCCUCCUCACGGGGACAGAACUCGGCUUAUCGGAUCGGUCCGAAU
RNAcentral lists this RNase P RNA (348 nucleotides) under Parcubacteria bacterium C7867-004. It matches the Rfam family "Bacterial RNase P class A". From Rfam's summary of the family: Ribonuclease P (RNase P) is a ubiquitous endoribonuclease, found in archaea, bacteria and eukarya as well as chloroplasts and mitochondria. Its best characterised activity is the generation of mature 5'-ends of tRNAs by cleaving the 5'-leader elements of precursor-tRNAs. The record is from RNAcentral. Lineage: Bacteria; Candidatus Parcubacteria.